AAAUUGACGGGGACCCGCACAAGCGGUGGAUGAUGUGGUUUAAUUCGAUGCAACGCGAAAAACCUUACCCACCUUUGACAUGUACGGAACUCGCCAGAGAUGGCUUGGUGCUCGAAAGAGAACCGUAACACAGGUGCUGCAUGGCUGUCGUCAGCUCGUGUCGUGAGAUGUUGGGUUGAGUCCCGCAACGAGCGCAACCCUCGUCAUUAGUUGCUACAUUUAGUUGGGCACUCUAAUGAGCCUGCCGGUGACAAGCCGGAGGAAGGUGGGGAUGACGUCAAGUCCUCAUGGCCCUUAUAGGUGGGGCUACACACGUCAUACAAUGGCUGGUACAGAGGGUUGCCAACCCGCGAGGGGGAGCUAAUCCCAUAAAACCAGUCGUAGUCCGGAUCGCAGUCUGCAACUCGACUGCGUGAAGUCGGAAUCGCUAGUAAUCGCGGAUCAGAAUGUCGCGGUGAAUACGUUCCCGGGUCUU
This 475-nucleotide ribosomal RNA is filed under the name uncultured Variovorax sp. Its description in RNAcentral is "bacterial SSU rRNA". It matches the Rfam family "Bacterial small subunit ribosomal RNA", at positions 908 to 1382 of the family's 1533-position model. Lineage: Bacteria; Pseudomonadati; Pseudomonadota; Betaproteobacteria; Burkholderiales; Comamonadaceae. The record is from RNAcentral.